GAUGAACGCUAGCUACAGGCUUAACACAUGCAAGUCGAGGGGAAACGCCAUCGAAAGCUUGCUUUUGAUGGGCGUCGACCGGCGCACGGGUGAGUAAUGCGUAUCCAACCUGCUCAUCACUUGUUGAUAACCCUGCGAAUGUAAGACUAAUACCCAAUGAUAUCCCUAGAAGACAUCUGAAAGAGACUAAAGAUUUAUCGGUGAUGGCUGGGGAUGCGUCUGAUUAGCUUGUUGGCGGGGUAACGGCCGACCAAGGCAACGAUCAGUAGGGGUUCUGAGGGGAGGGGCCCCGACAUUGGAACUGGGACACGGUCCAAACUCCUACGGGAGGCAGCAGUGAGGAAGAUAGGUGAAUGGACGAGAGCCUGAACCAGCCAAGUAGCGUGCAGGAAGACGGCCCUAUGGGUGGUAGACUGCUUUUAUAAGGGAGUAAAGGGAGGGUCGUGACUCUUUUUGUAUGUAACGUAUGAAUAAGGACCGGCUAAUUCCGUG
RNAcentral lists this ribosomal RNA (492 nucleotides) under uncultured bacterium. RNAcentral describes it as "partial 16S ribosomal RNA". It matches the Rfam family "Bacterial small subunit ribosomal RNA", at positions 28 to 507 of the family's 1533-position model. The record is from RNAcentral.